AGAGUUUGAUCCUGGCUCAGAACGAACGCUGGCGGCGUGCUUAACACAUGCAAGUCGAACGCGAACGGUUUCUUCGGAAACCUAGUAGAGUGGCGCACGGGUGAGUAACGCGUAAAUAAUCUACCCUGAUGUCUGGGAUAACCAGCCGAAAGGCUGACUAAUACCGGCUAUAUGAUUUUCUGUUGGGAGAAUCAGGAAAGGUGGCCUCUUCUUGAAAGCUAUCGCAUUUGGAUGAGUUUGCGUACCAUUAGCUAGUUGGUGGGGUAAUGGCCCACCAAGGCUACGAUGGUUAGCGGGUCUGAGAGGAUGAUCCGUCACACUGGCACUGGAACACGGGCCAGACUCCUACGGGAGGCAGCAGUGAGGAAUAUUGCGCAAUGGGGGAAACCCUGACGCAGCGACGCCGCGUGAGUGAGGAAGGCCUUCGGGUCGUAAAGCUCUGUCAGUAGGGAAGAAAUGUAUAUAAGUUAAUACCUUAUAUAUUUGACGGUACCUGCAAAGGAAGCACCGGCUAACUCCGUGCCAGCAGCCGCGGUAAUACGGAGGGUGCAAGCGUUGUUCGGAAUCACUGGGCGUAAAGGGAGCGCAGGCGGUUUGUCAAGUCAGAUGUGAAAGCCCACGGCUCAACCGUGGAAGUGCAUUUGAAACUGGCAAACUUGAGUAUCAGAGGGGAAAGUGGAAUUCCCGGUGUAGAGGUGAAAUUCGUAGAUAUCGGGAGGAAUACCGGUGGCGAAGGCGACUUUCUGGCUGAAUACUGACGCUGAGGCUCGAAAGCGUGGGGAGCAAACAGGAUUAGAUACCCUGGUAGUCCACGCCGUAAACGAUGUGCACUAGAUGUAGGAGGUAUUGAUCCCUUCUGUGUCGCAGCUAACGCAUUAAGUGCACCGCCUGGGGAGUACGGUCGCAAGAUUAAAACUCAAAGGAAUUGACGGGGGCCCGCACAAGCGGUGGAGUAUGUGGUUUAAUUCGAAGCAACGCGAAGAACCUUACCAAGACUUGACAUCGCUUGACAAUCAUAGAAAUAUGACUUCCCUUCGGGGCAGGUAGACAGGUGGUGCAUGGUUGUCGUCAGCUCGUGUCGUGAGAUGUUGGGUUAAGUCCCGCAACGAGCGCAACCCUUAUCAUUAGUUGCCAGCACGUAAUGGUGGGAACUCUAAUGAGACUGCCGGGGAUAACUCGGAGGAAGGUGGGGACGACGUCAAAUCAUCAUGCCCCUUAUGUCUUGGGCUACACACGUGCUACAAUGGCCGGUACAGAGGGCUGCGAUACCGCAAGGUGGAGCGAAUCCCAGAAAGCCGGUCCCAGUUCGGAUCGUGGGCUGCAACCCGCCCACGUGAAGCCGGAGUUGCUAGUAAUCGCGAAUCAGCAUGUCGCGGUGAAUGCGUUCCCGGGCCUUGUACACACCGCCCGUCACACCACGGAAGUUAGGAGCGCCCGAAGCCAGUGGGCUAACCGGAUUUAUUCGGAGGCAGCUGUCGAAGGUGAGACCAAUGACUGGGGUGAAGUCGUAACAAGGUAACC
Molecule: ribosomal RNA, 1521 nt
Filed under: uncultured bacterium
Lineage: Bacteria
Description: bacterial SSU rRNA
Rfam family: Bacterial small subunit ribosomal RNA
Source: RNAcentral